UACGUAGGGCGCGAGCGUUGUCCGGAUUUAUUGGGCGUAAAGAGCUCGUAGGCGGCUUGUCGCGUCGUCCGUGAAAACCUGCAGCUCAACUGCAGGCUUGCGGUCGAUACGGGCAGGCUAGAGUUCGGUAGGGGAGACUGGAAUUCCUGGUGUAGCGGUGAAAUGCGCAGAUAUCGGGAGGAACACCGGUGGCGAAGGCGGUUCUCUGGGCCGUAACUGACACUGAGGAGCGAAAGCGUGGGGAGCGAACAGG
This 253-nucleotide ribosomal RNA is filed under the name uncultured bacterium. RNAcentral describes it as "partial 16S ribosomal RNA". It matches the Rfam family "Bacterial small subunit ribosomal RNA", at positions 524 to 776 of the family's 1533-position model. The record is from RNAcentral.